UCUGAUAGUGAUCCGCUUUCA
Non-coding RNA from Caenorhabditis elegans, 21 nucleotides. NCBI's taxonomy places the organism in Eukaryota, Metazoa, Nematoda, Chromadorea, Rhabditida, Rhabditidae. The record is from Ensembl.